AUCUCAUGUUUAGAGCCGGACUGA
RNAcentral lists this non-coding RNA (24 nucleotides) under Arabidopsis thaliana (thale cress). The record is from RNAcentral. Lineage: Eukaryota; Viridiplantae; Streptophyta; Magnoliopsida; Brassicales; Brassicaceae.